AGAAUCAGGGUUUUCUUUCAUAAUGAGUAAUAACUUUGGACCUGUUCACCUAAUGGAGUGACACUCCCAUGAGUGACAGCUGAUUGUAGGUGCUGCCAUCUUUGGUCUCUAGGCUCACACCUCCCACCUCACAGACUGUCAGAGACUCUUCUCUCUCAGAUCAUUCAGCUCUGAACACAACAAUGAUCACAGCUGUUCUGAUCAAGCUCUCUGCAGCUCUGCUCUGCAUCACAGGUGUAAUCGACGGGAGUGAUGUGAAACAGGCCGCUGUGCUGUGGGGGGACGAGGGUCAGUCUGCCACAAUGACCUGUGAGCACACUAAAGGUGCUACUUAUUUCCAGAUGUACUGGUACAGACAGCUGCCAGGAGAGACAAUGCAACAAAUCGUUUUGACGAGACCAUCUGCCCUCCUCAGUACUGGUCUGACUUCAGUGAGGACAAGUUUCCUGCAAAGAAGGACAACUUCUCGACUGGAUCUUUGACUGUGGAGAAGCUGCUGCCUGCAGACAGUGGAGUGUAUUUUUGUGCUGUGAGUCAACACAGUGAAGCAGGUGACUCUGACAGCUGUACAAAUACCCCACUGAUGAAUACAUGUAUUAAAGACAUCAGUGUUUGAUUAUCUAUAGGGGGAGCUCUGGGUGCACAAUAGUUCUUUCACAGCCAUCAGUGUCCCAGAAAAUGUGCAAUGACAGAGUAUCGAUCAUAUUAUGAAUUUAUGUCCUUGAAAUGUGAAGAAUCCAAUUCAGAGCUCAAGUCAUUUCAUAUUAAGUUUCCAAUCAUGUUUCAAUUUGUUUUAAAUUAAAUCUUCUUGAGUUUGCCUAAGCAGCCCUUUAAAAUCAAAGUUUCCGAGGCGCUGGGUAGCCGAGCAGUUAUGUCGCCCACCCGUGUACGGCGGCUGUAGUCCUUAUCGUAGCGGCCGAGUGCUCGAAGCUGACCGAGGAAAGCCUCGGGUUACGUAACAUUUUAUUGUGAAUGUGUUGGUGGUGGUGAAUGUUCAGUGGUUAAAUAACUUUGUAUAGCCUCACACAUGUGACUGCUCACUAGUGGUGUAAUGAUGAUCUAUUUAAAUUGACACAUGUAUUCUAUAUUAACUGUGAUUUCAGAUCUCACAGUAGAUCACCGCAUCCUGAAAAUAAACUUAAAAAGAUAAAAAUCUCUUUUUAACACAUUUAAAACAAAUAUUUAAUAAAUAUCAGGCAAAGUGAC
Non-coding RNA from Labrus bergylta (ballan wrasse), 1206 nucleotides. The record is from the annotation of a RefSeq genome assembly. Lineage: Eukaryota; Metazoa; Chordata; Actinopteri; Labriformes; Labridae.